Molecule: ribosomal RNA, 309 nt
Filed under: Treponema bryantii
Lineage: Bacteria; Pseudomonadati; Spirochaetota; Spirochaetia; Treponematales; Treponemataceae
Description: bacterial LSU rRNA
Rfam family: Bacterial large subunit ribosomal RNA
Source: RNAcentral
GAGACAGUUCGGUCCCUAUCUGUUAUGGGCGAUGGAAGUUUGAGAGGAGCUGCUUUUAGUACGAGAGGACCGAAGUGGACGAACCUCUGGUUUACCAGUUAUCCUGCCAAGGGUAAGUGCUGGGUAUCUAAGUCCGGAAGGGAUAACCGCUGAAAGCAUCUAAGCGGGAAGCCCACCUCAAGAUUAGACUUCCCUGGAACUUUAAGUUCCCUGAAGACUCCUGGGAGACUACCAGGUUGAUAGGAUGCAGGUGUAAGCGCCGCGAGACGUUCAGCCGAGCAUUACUAAUAAGUCGUGAGACUUGGCCAU